CGCCUGAGUAGUACGUUCGCAAGAGUGAAACUUAAAGGAAUUAACAAAAGAUCCGCACAAGCGGUGGAGCAUGGGGUUUAAUUUGAAGAUACGCGUAGAACCUUACCCACUCUUGACAUCUUCUGCAAAGCUAUAGAGAUAUAGUGGAGGUUAACAGAAUGACAGAUGGUGCAUGGUUGUCGUCAGCUCGUGUCGUGAGAUGUUCGGUUAAGUCCUGCAACGAGCGCAACCCUUGUUCUUAGUUACUUUAUCUAAGGAGACUGCCCGAGUAAUUGGGAGGAAGGUGGGGACGACGUCAAAUCAUCAUGCCUCUUACGAGUGGGGCAACACACGUGCUACAAUGGACGAUACAAAGAGAAGCAAAAUAGUGAUAUCAAGCAAAUCUCAAAAAAUCGUUCUCAGUUCGGAUUGUAGUCUGCAAUUUUUACUACACCCCAGUCGGAAUCGCUAGUAAUCGUAUAUCUUUCUACGCUACGGUGAAUACGUUUCUCGGGGUUUGUACACACCGC
This 509-nucleotide ribosomal RNA is filed under the name uncultured Mycoplasma sp. Its description in RNAcentral is "bacterial SSU rRNA". It matches the Rfam family "Bacterial small subunit ribosomal RNA", at positions 870 to 1393 of the family's 1533-position model. Lineage: Bacteria; Bacillati; Mycoplasmatota; Mollicutes; Mycoplasmatales; Mycoplasmataceae. The record is from RNAcentral.